This 274-nucleotide ribosomal RNA is filed under the name uncultured bacterium. RNAcentral's name for it is "partial 16S ribosomal RNA". It matches the Rfam family "Bacterial small subunit ribosomal RNA", at positions 523 to 796 of the family's 1533-position model. The record is from RNAcentral.
AUACAGAGGGUGCGAGCGUUAAUCGGAAUUACUGGGCGUAAAGCGCGCGUAGGCGGCUUAUUAAGUCAGAUGUGAAAUCCCCGGGCUCAACCUGGGAACUGCAUCUGAUACUGGUAAGCUAGAGUUUUGGAGAGGGAAGUAGAAUUUCAGGUGUAGCGGUGAAAUGCAUAGAGAUCUGAAGGAAUACCAGUGGCGAAGGCGACUUCCUGGCCAAAAACUGACACUGAGGUGCGAAAGCGUGGGUAGCAAACGGGAUUAGAAACCCCAGUAGACC